This 524-nucleotide ribosomal RNA is filed under the name uncultured bacterium. RNAcentral describes it as "bacterial SSU rRNA". It matches the Rfam family "Bacterial small subunit ribosomal RNA", at positions 355 to 896 of the family's 1533-position model. The record is from RNAcentral.
UGGGGAAUAUUGGACAAUGGACCAAAAGUCUGAUCCAGCAAUUCUGUGUGCACGAUGACGUUUUUCGGAAUGUAAAGUGCUUUCAGUUGGGAAGAAAAAAAUGACGGUACCAACAGAAGAAGUGACGGCUAAAUACGUGCCAGCAGCCGCGGUAAUACGUAUGUCACAAGCGUUAUCCGGAUUUAUUGGGCGUAACGCGCGUCUAGGUGGUUAUGUAAGUCUGAUGUGAAAAUGCAGGGCUCAACUCUGUAUUGCGUUGGAAACUGCAUGACUAGAGUACUGGAGAGGUAAGCGGAACUACAAGUGUAGAGGUGAAAUUCGUAGAUAUUUGUAGGAAUGCCGAUGGGGAAGCCAGCUUACUGGACAGAUACUGACGCUAAAGCGCGAAAGCGUGGGUAGCAAACAGGAUUAGAUACCCUGGUAGUCCACGCCGUAAACGAUGAUUACUAGGUGUUGGGGGUUGAACCUCAGCGCCCAAGCUAACGCGAUAAGUAAUCCGCCUGGGGAGUACGUACGCAAGUAUG